GAAGUGUUUGAGCAUCACAAGUCACCCUGGGCCUGCUCAGUGGAAUGACAAAGUUUGAAGAUUUCAACCCUUCCCAGCCUGCAGGAUGGUGCUGGGCUCCUGGGAGGAGUUUCUCACUGUGGUUUCCUCAACGAUUUUGGAUAGACAAGAGGUGCCUGGAAGGGGGAAUGGCCCCAGGGCAGGAUCCUCCCCCAGACUGGAUCCUGUGGCAGCACCCUGAGCUCCCUGCCCUGCCCUGGGCUGGCUGUGCCUCAACAGAGGGAGCUCAAACUCUGGCACUUGGAGCUGCUCAUCCCAGCAGGUUUGCAGUUUAUUAUGGGGUCAGAAAGAGUGUGGAGCAUGGAGAGUAAGAGAUGAGAGCAAGAAAGAGCUUAAAGAUCAGAGCUAAGGGGUAAGAGAGAAGAGAUCAGAGGUAAGAGAGAGAUUUCCCAUUCACAAUACAAUAAUUAUUCUUCUACAAUGAAUAUUCUAAUUUUCCAAUAACCAAUCUAAUACAAUAUACUAAUUUUCUAAUAUUUGCAUGCAACCUAUAGGAAUCACUAAAUUCCCAUGUUUUCUGGCUUUCUUAUCUGUAACCCUUAUCUUCAGACCUUUCCUGCCAGGCUGGGGACAGGAUGUCUGUUGGUUCUUUGGUAUUUGUGGCAUUUGGUAUCAUCUAAACAAAGGGAGAGGCCUCAAACCUUCACAUGACUGUUUUUAGCAUCUAUAUCAAAAUAAGCCAACACCUCUAUUUCAUUUAUUGUUUCAGAACUACUUGCUAAGC
Molecule: long non-coding RNA, 763 nt
Organism: Oenanthe melanoleuca
Lineage: Eukaryota; Metazoa; Chordata; Aves; Passeriformes; Muscicapidae
Exons: 3
Source: RefSeq, a predicted model, not a curated record